CAGCAGUCGCCGCGGUAAUACAGAGGGUGCAAGCGUUAAUCGGAAUUACUGGGCGUAAAGCGCGCGUAGGUGGUUUGUUAAGUUGGAUGUGAAAGCCCCGGGCUCAACCUGGGAACUGCAUCCAAAACUGGCAAGCUAGAGUACGGUAGAGGGUGGUGGAAUUUCCUGUGUAGCGGUGAAAUGCGUAGAUAUAGGAAGGAACACCAGUGGCGAAGGCGACCACCUGGACUGAUACUGACGCUCAGGUGCGAAAGCGUGGGGAGCAAACAGGAUUAGAUACCCCUGUAGUCCCUGUCUCUUAUAC
Molecule: ribosomal RNA, 304 nt
Filed under: uncultured bacterium
Lineage: Bacteria
Description: partial 16S ribosomal RNA
Rfam family: Bacterial small subunit ribosomal RNA
Source: RNAcentral